UGGGGAAUAUUGCACAAUGGGCGAAAGCCUGAUGCAGCGACGCCGCGUGAGGGAUGACGGCCUUCGGGUUGUAAACCUCUUUCAGCAGGGAAGAAGCGAAAGUGACGGUACCUGCAGAAUAAGCCCCGGCUAACUUCGUGCCAGCAGCCGCGGUAAGACGAAGGGGGCUAGCGUUGUUCGGAAUUACUGGGCGUAAAGCGAGUGUAGGCGGUUGCCCAAGUCAGGUGUGAAAGCCUUGAGCUCAACUCAAGAAAUGCACUUGGUACUGGGUGGCUAGAGGACCGGAGAGGAUAGUGGAAUUCCCAGUGUAGUGGUGAAAUACGUAGAGAUUGGGAAGAACACCAGUGGCGAAGGCGGCUAUCUGGACGGUUACUGUCGCUAAGACUCGAAAGCGUGGGGAGCAAAC
Molecule: ribosomal RNA, 406 nt
Filed under: uncultured bacterium
Lineage: Bacteria
Description: bacterial SSU rRNA
Rfam family: Bacterial small subunit ribosomal RNA
Source: RNAcentral